UUCCAGGGAUGGGAAGCGAACCCACAAUGUUCCGCUUACCGGGCAGAUGCCAUGUCCACUAGGCUACCCUGGA
RNAcentral lists this transfer RNA (73 nucleotides) under Cordylochernes scorpioides. RNAcentral describes it as "tRNA-Thr". Lineage: Eukaryota; Metazoa; Arthropoda; Arachnida; Pseudoscorpiones; Chernetidae. The record is from RNAcentral.